UUGGUAUCUUAGUGGCGGACGGGUGAGUAACGCGUGGGUAACCUGCCUUACACUGGGGGAUAACACUUAGAAAUAGGUGCUAAUACCGCAUAACAGGGAAAGAUGCAUGUCUUUUCCUUGAAAACUCCGGUGGUGUAAGAUGGACCCGCGUCUGAUUAGCUGGUUGGCGGGGUAACGGCCCACCAAGGCGACGAUCAGUAGCCGGCCUGAGAGGGUGAACGGCCACAUUGGGACUGAGACACGGCCCAAACUCCUACGGGAGGCAGCAG
RNAcentral lists this ribosomal RNA (269 nucleotides) under uncultured bacterium. RNAcentral describes it as "partial 16S ribosomal RNA". It matches the Rfam family "Bacterial small subunit ribosomal RNA", at positions 84 to 354 of the family's 1533-position model. The record is from RNAcentral.